This 322-nucleotide ribosomal RNA is filed under the name Bacillus cereus. Its description in RNAcentral is "bacterial SSU rRNA". It matches the Rfam family "Bacterial small subunit ribosomal RNA", at positions 1 to 310 of the family's 1533-position model. The record is from RNAcentral. Lineage: Bacteria; Bacillati; Bacillota; Bacilli; Caryophanales; Bacillaceae.
UUUAUUGGAGAGUUUGAUCCUGGCUCAGGAUGAACGCUGGCGGCGUGCCUAAUACAUGCAAGUCGAGCGAAUGGAUUGAGAGCUUGCUCUCAAGAAGUUAGCGGCGGACGGGUGAGUAACACGUGGGUAACCUGCCCAUAAGACUGGGAUAACUCCGGGAAACCGGGGCUAAUACCGGAUAACAUUUUGAACUGCAUGGUUCGAAAUUGAAAGGCGGCUUCGGCUGUCACUUAUGGAUGGACCCGCGUCGCAUUAGCUAGUUGGUGAGGUAACGGCUCACCAAGGCAACGAUGCGUAGCCGACCUGAGAGGGUGAUCGGCCA